GAGGAAAGUGGGAGGCGUGCCUAAUACAUGCAAGUCGAGCGAACGGACGAGAAGCUUGCUUCUCUGAUGUUAGCGGCGGACGGGUGAGUAACACGUGGAUAACCUACCUAUAAGACUGGGAUAACUUCGGGAAACCGUAGCUAAUACCGGAUAAUAUUUUGAACCGCAUGGUUCAAAAGUGAAAGACGGUCUUGCUGUCACUUAUAGAUGGAUCCGCGCUGCAUUAGCUAGUUGGUAAGGUAACGGCUUACCAAGGCAACGAUGCAUAGCCGACCUGAGAGGGUGAUCGGCCACACUGGAACUGAGACACGGUCCAGACUCCUACGGGAGGCAGCAGUAGGGAAUCUUCCGCAAUGGGCGAAAGCCUGACGGAGCAACGCCGCGUGAGUGAUGAAGGUCUUCGGAUCGUAAAACUCUGUUAUUAGGGAAGAACAUAUGUGUAAGUAACUGUGCACAUCUUGACGGUACCUAAUCAGAAAGCCACGGCUAACUACGUG
RNAcentral lists this ribosomal RNA (497 nucleotides) under uncultured bacterium. RNAcentral describes it as "partial 16S ribosomal RNA". It matches the Rfam family "Bacterial small subunit ribosomal RNA", at positions 28 to 507 of the family's 1533-position model. The record is from RNAcentral.